GCGGGACUCGUGAAAUCUCGUGUGAAUCUGCCAAGACCACUUGGUAAGCCUAAAUACUACUUGAUGACCGAUAGUGCAUAGUACCGUGAGGGAAUGGUGAAAAGUACCCCGGGAGGGGAGUGAAAUAGUACCUGAAACCGUGUGCCUGUAAGCCGUCAGAGCCUUGUGGGGUGAUGGCGUGCCUUUUGAAGAAUGAGCCUGCGAGUUAGUGAUACGUGGCGUGCUUAACCCGUGUGGGGUAUGCGUAGCGAAAGCGAGUCUGAAAGAUGGCGUUUGUCGCGUGUUCUAGACCCGAAGCGGGGUGAUCUACCCAUGGUCAGGUUGAAGCAGAGGUAAGACUGUGUGGAGGACCGAACCCACCAGGGUUGAAAACCUGGGGGAUGAACUGUGGGUAGGGGUGAAAGGCCAAUCAAACUCCGUGAUAGCUGGUUCUCCCCGAAAUGCAUUUAGGUGCAGCGUUGCGUGGUCCCUGGUGGAGGUAGAGCUACUGGAUGGCCGAUGGGCCCUGUGGGUUACUGACGUCAGCCAAACUCCGAAUGCCAUUAGGUGUAGCGUGGCAGUGAGACUGCGGGGGAUAAGCUUCGUAGUCGAGAGGGAAACAGCCCAGAUCAUCAGCUAAGGCCCCUAAGCGUGCGCUAAGUGGGAAAGGAUGUGGAGUCGCGGUGACAACCAGGAGGUUGGCUUAGAAGCAGCCAUCCUUGAAAGAGUGCGUAAUAGCUCACUGGUCAAGUGGUUCUGCGCCGACAAUGUAGCGGGGCUCAAGCGUACCGCCGAAGCUGUGGCAACAAUGCGUGAUGCUGGCGCCAGGAACUGGAGUGCUGGUGUGUUGUUGGGUAGGGGAGCGUCCUGCACGAGGUGAAGCCUGGAGGGAACUUCUGGUGGAUUGUGUGGGAGUGAGAAUGCAGGCAUGAGUAACGAAUCUGCGGUGAGAAUCCGCAGCGCCGAUUGACUAAGGGUUCCAGGGCUAGGUUUAUCCGCCCUGGGUUAGUCGGGUCCUAAGGCGAGGCCGACAGGCGUAGUCGAUGGACAACCAGUUGAUAUUCUGGUACCGCGUUAUGACCGCCCAUGCUGAAGUCAUUGUGCUAACCAAUCUGCCCGCCUCCCGCUGGGCUUUCGGGUCUGGUGGUGUGUGUGGGUCUUGGGGUCCCGGUGAUUGUAGGCAAGCGUGUUAACAGGGGUGACGCAGACAGGUAGCUGCAGUGCGCCGAUGGUUGUGCGUAUUUAAGGUUGUGGCCCGUCUCUCAGGUAAAUCCGGGGGACACUGUGGGUGAGAACUGAUGAGGGUGACACGAUAGUGUCGUCUUGUGGUGAUCCUAUGCUGCCGAGAAAAGCCUCGACGUGAGGGCAUGACGCGCCCGUACCCUAAACCGACUCAGGUGGUCAGGUAGAGUAUACCGAGGCGUUCGAGUGAAUCGUGGUUAAGGAACUCGGCAAAAUUCCUCCGUAACUUCGGGAUAAGGAGGACCCCGUGACUUCCCUCCGCUUCGCGCGGUGGUGGGGUUGUGGGGUCGCAGAGAAUAGGGAGAAGCGACUGUUUAUCAAAAACACAGGUGCGUGCGAAGCCGUAAGGCGAUGUAUACGCACUGACGCCUGCCCGGUGCUGGAAGGUUAAGAGGAACUGUUAACACUCCUUUUGUGGGUGUGAAGCGGUGAAUUUAAGCCCCAGUAAACGGCGGUGGUAACUAUAACCAUCCUAAGGUAGCGAAAUUCCUUGUCGGGUAAGUUCCGACCUGCACGAAUGGCGUAACGACUUCUCCGCUGUCUC
RNAcentral lists this ribosomal RNA (1765 nucleotides) under metagenome. RNAcentral describes it as "bacterial LSU rRNA". It matches the Rfam family "Bacterial large subunit ribosomal RNA", at positions 417 to 2022 of the family's 2925-position model. The record is from RNAcentral.